RNAcentral lists this ribosomal RNA (492 nucleotides) under uncultured bacterium. Its description in RNAcentral is "partial 16S ribosomal RNA". It matches the Rfam family "Bacterial small subunit ribosomal RNA", at positions 29 to 507 of the family's 1533-position model. The record is from RNAcentral.
AGUGAACGCUGGCGGUAGGCCUAACACAUGCAAGUCGAACGGCAGCACAGUAAGAGCUUGCUCUUACGGGUGGCGAGUGGCGGACGGGUGAGGAAUACAUCGGAAUCUACUUUUUCGUGGGGGAUAACGUAGGGACACUUACGCUAAUACCGCAUACGAUCUACGGGUGAAAGCAGGGGAUCUUCGGACCUUGCGCGAUUGAAUGAGCCGAUGUCGGAUUAGCUAGUUGGCGGGGUAAAGGCCCACCAAGGCGACGAUCCGUAGCUGGUCUGAGAGGAUGAUCAGUCACACUGGAACUGAGACACGGUCCAGACUCCUACGGGAGGCAGCAGUGGGGAAUAUUGGACAAUGGGCGCAAGCCUGAUCCAGCCAUACCGCGUGGGUGAAGAAGGCCUUCGGGUUGUAAAGCCCUUUUGUUGGGAAAGAAAAGCAGCAGGUGAAUACCCCGCUGUUCUGACGGUACCCAAAGAAUAAGCACCGGCUAACUUCGUG